UUUCCGUAGGUGAACCUGCGGAAGGAUCAUACGCGUCAUCCAAUCCGCCGGUGACGGCAGCGUCCGUUGCUCGGCCAAGUCCUCGACCGCCUCCCCUCCUCGGAGUGGGGGCUCGGGGUAAAAGAACCCACGGCGCCGAAUGCGUCAAGGAACACUGUGCCUAACCCGGGGGCAUGGCUAGCUUGCUAGUCGUCCCCCGUGUUGCAAAGCUAUUUAAUCCACACGACUCUCGGCAACGGAUAUCUCGGCUCCU
Molecule: unclassified non-coding RNA, 253 nt
Filed under: root metagenome
Description: partial contains small subunit ribosomal RNA, internal transcribed spacer 1, and 5.8S ribosomal RNA
Source: RNAcentral